AUCCUCAGGUGUGCUCAAUUAGCGGGCAGAAGAUGAAGUAGUCCAUGGAGGAUGGGGGCAUGUUGAGUCACUGGUUUUUGUCACCAUUUUGCUUGGCAUCAACGGUUAAUGCUUGAAAAACACAGAGGGGAUGACAAAGGGCAUCUAGAGGAAGAAGAGGAAGCUGCCAGUCAUCUCCUAACGACAUUGGAGUUCAUCUGACAUCGCCUCAACCUGCUCAAAGGCAGACCAUCACUCCUGAGGACAUGACACAUGUGGAUCUGGACAUUGUGAAGAUAAAUCUAAAUAGUUGCAUCUCUGGCAUUAAAGAGCGCGCUCCAUCUGCUGAAAGACACCCAGGAGGAAGUGCAGGUCUGUUGAUGAAUUUCAGCCAUGUUUUGAUGAGUGAAUGGCUCUCAGCGCUCUAUAAAGGACCCACUGAGGGGUUUGAUGAAGCCGGAUGGUGAACAGUGAGGAAGGCAGAACCCCGGCAAUGUUUCUCUCACCUCCGCCGUUUGGCACAGUUUUGGUCCUGCUGAGAUUUAUAUUAGCAAUUGAAAUUAAAGUCUGGCCAUGUGGAGGAGAAACAGCUGCACACAGCUGCAUAUUUUCACAUUUAUACACAACGUGCAUGAUGAAAAAGGGUUGAAAUGUGGUGCUUUUGACAAAAUUAGUGGUGAAUUUAGCAAGUAUCAAAAAAAAUAAGUUUGAAGAUAGACAUAUUGGAGAAAUAGAAAAAUAAAAAAAAU
Acanthopagrus latus (yellowfin seabream) is the source of this 728-nucleotide long non-coding RNA. RefSeq lists it as uncharacterized. The transcript has 4 exons. The record is from RefSeq and is a predicted model, not a curated record. Lineage: Eukaryota; Metazoa; Chordata; Actinopteri; Spariformes; Sparidae.